RNAcentral lists this ribosomal RNA (514 nucleotides) under uncultured bacterium. RNAcentral describes it as "partial 16S ribosomal RNA". It matches the Rfam family "Bacterial small subunit ribosomal RNA", at positions 28 to 523 of the family's 1533-position model. The record is from RNAcentral.
GACGAACGCUGGCGGCGUGCCUAACACAUGCAAGUCGAACGGAGAAUUAGCAAUAAUUCUUAGUGGCGAACGGGUGAGUAACGCGUAGACAACCUACCCUUUAGAUGGGGACAACACCGCGAAAGUGGUGCUAAUACCGAAUAUUGCUUGAGAAGCGCAUGCUUUUCAAACUAAAGAUGGACUCUAUUUAUAAGCUAUCGCUAAAGAAUGGGUCUGCGUGUGAUUAGCUAGUUGGUGAGAUAAAAGCUCACCAAGGCAACGAUCAGGAGCCGGGCUGAAAGGAUGAACGGCCACACUGGGACUGAGACACGGCCCAGACUCCUACGGGAGGCAGCAGUGGGGAAUCUGCCGCAAUGGACGAAAGUCUGACGGAGCAACGCCGCGUGAGUGAUGAAGGUUUUCGGAUCGUAAAACUCUGUUGUUAAGGACGAAUGUAUAGAUUGUGAAUAAUGGUUUAUAAUGACGGUACUUAACGAGGAAGCCACGGCUAACUACGUGCCAGCCGCCGCAGUAA